UACGGAGGGUGCAAGCGUUAUCCGGAUUUACUGGGUUUAAAGGGUGCGUAGGUGGGUAGGUAAGUCAGUGGUGAAAUCUUCGAGCUUAACUCGGAAGCUGCCAUUGAUACUAUUUAUCUUGAAUACUUUGGAGGUAAGCGGAAUAUGUCAUGUAGCGGUGAAAUGCUUAGAUAUGACAUAGAACACCAAUUGCGAAGGCAGCUUACUACACAGUCAUUGACACUGAGGCACGAAAGCGUGGGGAUCAAACAGG
RNAcentral lists this ribosomal RNA (253 nucleotides) under uncultured bacterium. RNAcentral describes it as "partial 16S ribosomal RNA". It matches the Rfam family "Bacterial small subunit ribosomal RNA", at positions 524 to 776 of the family's 1533-position model. The record is from RNAcentral.